GGAGACUGGGGUUCAGAUAUUGUCUGUGGUCUUGGCAACUGUGUCCCUCUCCAGUACUUUAGAAAGAGUAAGUAGUAACAGCUGACUCCAUACAUCCUCUAGGUACACACUUCCCACCAGACACUAUGCAGCAAUGGUGACUUGACCAGUGCCAGCACCAAAACUUCACAGGUAGAGAAGAGAAAGAGCCACCGAUCAGGGCUGUGGAGUGAGUGGCUGGGUAACUGGGAAGAGGUAGCUGAGAAGAAAUAAAAAUAGGAAAUGCCAAGGAAAAGAAGAAUGCUCAAAAA
Long non-coding RNA from Mesocricetus auratus (golden hamster), 290 nucleotides. RefSeq lists it as uncharacterized. Lineage: Eukaryota; Metazoa; Chordata; Mammalia; Rodentia; Cricetidae. The record is from RefSeq and is a predicted model, not a curated record. The transcript is spliced from 3 exons.